RNAcentral lists this ribosomal RNA (486 nucleotides) under uncultured bacterium. Its description in RNAcentral is "partial 16S ribosomal RNA". It matches the Rfam family "Bacterial small subunit ribosomal RNA", at positions 30 to 507 of the family's 1533-position model. The record is from RNAcentral.
AUUGAACGCUGGCGGCAUGCCUUACACAUGCAAGUCGAACGGCAGCACGGGUGCUUGCACCUGGUGGCGAGUGGCGAACGGGUGAGUAAUACAUCGGAACAUGUCCUGUAGUGGGGGAUAGCCCGGCGAAAGCCGGAUUAAUACCGCAUACGAUCUACGGAUGAAAGCGGGGGACCUUCGGGCCUCGCGCUAUAGGGUUGGCCGAUGGCUGAUUAGCUAGUUGGUGGGGUAAAGGCCUACCAAGGCGACGAUCAGUAGCUGGUCUGAGAGGACGACCAGCCACACUGGGACUGAGACACGGCCCAGAAUCCUACGGGAGGCAGCAGUGGGGAAUGUUGGACAAUGGGCGAAAGCCUGAUACAGCAAUGCCGCGUGUGUGAAGAAGGCCUUCGGGUUGUAAAGCACUUUUGUCCGGAAAGAAAUCCUUGGCCCUAAUACGGUCGGGGGAUGACGGUACCGGAAGAAUAAGCACCGGCUAACUACGUG